This 333-nucleotide long non-coding RNA is filed under the name Mytilus galloprovincialis (Mediterranean mussel). Lineage: Eukaryota; Metazoa; Mollusca; Bivalvia; Mytilida; Mytilidae. The record is from RNAcentral.
UGUUGUCAUUCACAAAAUUUAAAUGUAUAACUCUAAAAUGCAGGUAUAUCCAGGUAAAAAUCUGUGUGCAGGUGGUAAAAACACUUUUAUGGGUGAUCAAAAGCCUAAAAAUAUCAACAUUUACGCUGACAAAAAGUUGGUUCACAUGUCAGAUAUUGUAGGAGGACAUUAUGUAAAUAAAAAUAUCAGUAACACCACACAAUUUUAACAUGUACUUUUAACAGGACAAAUGCUCAAUGUACAAAAAUAUAAACAAAUACAUUUGUUUGUACUUGGACAUAGAACCCUUCAUGUAUAAAAUAAUACAAUGUACGACUAAUUGUGUUCUAAUUC